This 2875-nucleotide ribosomal RNA is filed under the name Escherichia coli. Its description in RNAcentral is "23S ribosomal RNA". It matches the Rfam family "Bacterial large subunit ribosomal RNA". The record is from RNAcentral. Lineage: Bacteria; Pseudomonadati; Pseudomonadota; Gammaproteobacteria; Enterobacterales; Enterobacteriaceae.
AGAAAGUAAGCAAGGGCAGACGGUGGAUGCCUUGGCUCUCGGAGGCGAGGAAGGACGUGAUAAGCUGCGAAAAGCGCGGGGGAGGCGCAAAUAGCCCUUGAUCCCGGGAUAUCCGAAUGGGGCAACCCGGCAGGCUGAAGGCCUGCCAUCCCGUAAGGGAGGCGAACGUGGGGAACUGAAACAUCUAAGUACCCAUAGGAGGAGAAAAUAAACAAUGAUUCCGUAAGUAGUGGCGAGCGAACACGGAAGAGCCCAAACCCGUGCCGUCUAGGCGACACGGGGGUUGUAGGACCACGACGUGGCAAGAUAGAGUCAAGUGGAACGCCUUGGAAAAGGCGACCGUAGAGGGUGAUAGUCCCGUACACGACUGACGAUUGAAGCCUAGUGGCAUCCUGAGUAGCGCGGGGCACGAGAAAUCUUGCGUGAAACUGCGGGGCCCAUCCCGUAAGGCUAAAUACUCCCGAGAGACCGAUAGCGAACCAGUACCGUGAGGGAAAGGUGAAAAGAACCCCGAGCAGGGGAGUGAAAUAGACCCUGAACCCGUCUGCCUACAAGCGGUCGGAGCAUCGUCAAGAUGUGACGGCGUGCCUUUUGCAUAAUGAACCUACGAGUUACCUUCCCCGGCAAGGUUAAGUACCUAAGGUACGGAGCCGAAGCGAAAGCGAGUCUGAAUAGGGCGGCCAGUCGGGGGGGGUAGACGCGAAACCGAGUGAUCUACCCUUGGCCAGGUUGAAGGUUGGGUAACACCAACUGGAGGACCGGAUGGGUAAGCGUUGAAAAGCUUUCCAAUGAGCUGAGGGUAGGGGUGAAAGGCUAAUCAAACUCGGAGAUAGCUCGUACUCCCCGAAAUGCAUUUAGGUGCAGCCUCUUUAUAGUAUAUCGUGAGGUAGAGCGACUGAUUGGAUGCGAGGGCUUCACCGCCUAUCAAGUCCAGAUAAACUCCGAAUGCGCGAUAUAUAUUUAAAGGGAGUGAGGGCGCGGGUGCUAAGGUCCGUGUCCGAGAGGAGAAGAAUCCAGACCACCGGCUAAGGCCCCCAAAUGAUCGUUGAGUUGAACUAACGAGGUCGGAUCGCAGAGACAGCUAGGAUGUUGGCUUGGAAGCAGCCAUUCAUUUAAAGAGUGCGUAACAGCUCACUAGUCGAGCGAUCUGGCGUGGAUAAUAAUCGGGCAUAAACGAUCUGCCGAAGCCGUGGAUGUCGUAAGACAUGGUAGGGGAGCAUUCCAUGGGCGUCGAAGAUGAGGGAUGACCCUUGUUGGAGCGCAUGGAAAAGCAAAUGUAGGUAUGAGUAACGAUAAGGGGGGCGAGAAACCCCCCCGCCGAAAGACCAAGGUUUCCUGAUCAACGCUAAUCGGAUCAGGGUGAGUCGGGACCUAAGGCAAAGCCGAACGGCGACGCCGAUGGAAGAAUGGGUUAAUAUUCCCAUACUGCCUCAUGGAGUGACGUGGAGACGGAGAAGUGACAGUCCUGCCGGCUGACGGAAUAGCCGGUUGAAGGGUGUAGAUAUUGAUUCCCGUAGGCAAAUCCGCGGGGAGAGUCGAACCUGAGAGUAUACGGAGCGCUUGCGCAACGUAAUAUGGACGUAACCAUGCUCCCGAGAAAAUCCGCUAAACUUAUCCAUGCGGCACCCGUACCGUAAACGGACACACGUGGUCGGGUUGAGAAUACUGAGGCGCUCGAGUGACUCACGGUUAAGGAACUAGGCAAAUUGACCCUGUAACUUCGGGAUAAAGGGUCCUCGUCGUAAGGCGAGGCGCAGAGAAUAGGUCCAGGCAACUGUUUAACAAAAACACAUGGCUGUGCUAAAUGGAAACAUGACGUAUACAGCCUGACACCUGCCCGGUGCUGGAAGGUUAAGAGGAGAUGUCAUCGCAAGAGAAGCGUUGAAUUGAAGCCCCAGUAAACGGCGGCCGUAACUAUAACGGUCCUAAGGUAGCGAAAUUCCUUGUCGGGUAAGUUCCGACCUGCACGAAUGGUGUAAUGAUCUGGACACUGUCUCAACCGUGAGCUCGGUGAAAUUGUAGUAUCGGUGAAGAUGCCGAUUACCCGCGAUGGGACGAAAAGACCCCGUGAACCUUUACUAUAGCUUUACAUUGAAUUUGGGCAGACGAUGUGUAGGAUAGGCCGGAGGCUUUGAAGGGGGUACGCCAGUAUCCUUGGAGCCGCCGUUGAAAUACGGCCCUUCGGUUGUUUGAGUUCUAACUCCUAGGCAGGAGGACACUGUAUGGUGGGUAGUUUGACUGGGGUGGUCGCCUCCAAAAGCGUAACGGAGGCUUCUAAAGGUGCCCUCAGACCGAUUGGUAACCGGUCGCAGAGUGUAAUGGCAUAAGGGCGCUUGACUGGGAGAGAUACAACUCGAUCAGGUAGGAAACUAGAGCAUAGUGAUCCGGUGGUUCCGCAUGGAAGGGCCAUCGCUCAAAGGAUAAAAGGUACUCCGGGGAUAACAGGCUGAUCAUUCCCAAGAGCUCAUAUCGACGGAAUGGUUUGGCACCUCGAUGUCGGCUCGUCACAUCCUGGGGCUGGAGAAGGUCCCAAGGGUUGGGCUGUUCGCCCAUUAAAGUGGCACGCGAGCUGGGUUCAGAACGUCGUGAGACAGUUCGGUCUCUAUCUAUCGUGGGCGCAGGAGAUUUGAGGGGCUCUGACACUAGUACGAGAGGACCGUGUUGGACGUACCACUGGUUUACCGGUUGUCCCGCCAGGGGCACCGCCGGGUAUCUAAGUACGGAUCGGAUAAGUGCUGAAAGCAUCUAAGUACGAAGCCGUCCUCAAGAUUAGAUCUCCCUCAAGGGUGGUUAUAGACGAUGACCUUGAUAGGCCACAGGUGUAAGGGCGGCGACGUCCGAGCCGAGUGGUACUAAUAGCCCGGGACUUUCCUCA